UGCCCAGCCACUUCUAUCGCUACCUCCUCGUGGUACUGGCCGGGGUACGAGUAACCUUGGGGAAGAUCGGGUAACCAACCCCCGGUGGGAACUUUGGUCGUAUGCUGACAGGGAAGG
RNAcentral lists this ribozyme (117 nucleotides) under Aedes aegypti (yellow fever mosquito). RNAcentral's name for it is "drz-agam-1 ribozyme". It matches the Rfam family "drz-agam-1 ribozyme". Lineage: Eukaryota; Metazoa; Arthropoda; Insecta; Diptera; Culicidae. The record is from Rfam by way of RNAcentral.